AUUGAACGCUGGCGGCAGGCCUAACACAUGCAAGUCGAGCGGUUGAGGUAGCUUGCUACCGAUGCAGCGGCGGACGGGUGAGUAAUACAUGGGAAUCUGCCUGGUAGUGGGGGACAACGUUUCGAAAGGAACGCUAAUACCGCAUACGCCCUACGGGGAAAGGGGGGAGUCUUCGGACCUCUCGCUAUCAGAUGAGCCCA
This 200-nucleotide ribosomal RNA is filed under the name uncultured bacterium. Its description in RNAcentral is "partial 16S ribosomal RNA". It matches the Rfam family "Bacterial small subunit ribosomal RNA", at positions 30 to 233 of the family's 1533-position model. The record is from RNAcentral.